This is a long non-coding RNA of Erigeron canadensis, 906 nucleotides long. RefSeq lists it as uncharacterized. The transcript has 9 exons. NCBI's taxonomy places the organism in Eukaryota, Viridiplantae, Streptophyta, Magnoliopsida, Asterales, Asteraceae. The record is from RefSeq and is a predicted model, not a curated record.
UAGAAGUUGUCACAAAGUAACUUUGUUUAUGUUAAAGAGAUGGUGGAAAUUGGUCCAGUUUUUGGAAGCAUAAUCAUCUACUUCUUAUAUGGACUCCAUUGACAAGCCCAUUGAAGGUGACAAAUGGGUACAGCUCGAUACAGAAGGGGUAAAGCUCGAUACAGAUGCAAACCGAGUAGUGGAAUCCACUGUUGCACACUUUGGAAAGCUCGAUACAGUAUACAAUGAGCAAAUUGGUGAUUUGCUGGAUCCAACACAGAGAAAACUUGAGAUAAAAGAUGAGGCUAAAUAUGGGUUUUAGGUUAAGAAUCCGACUGAGGAAUAUGUAACUGGCUAUGAGAAAGUUACUCAAGUUUUCAUCAAGAUGGCAUGGGUAGCAAGAAGCAAUGAUGUACUGCUCGAUUGGAUAAUAUCCUACAUAGCUGUCUAUAUAAAGACUCUACUUGUAGUCUUUAGGUUGGAAGGAGAAGAAUAUAUAUCAAUAGUUGAUGAAUUGAUGGAAGCUCUUCAUACACGUUGGCCAAAAGCUAUUAUCCAGUUUGAAGAUUUUCAAUUCAAGUGGGCUUUUGAAACUCUUCAAAGAUACCAAAAUAAGUACUACAUGUUCAAUGACGACAUACAGGGAAAUGCUGGUGUUGCAUUAGCUGGAUUGCUUGGACUGUUAGAGCACAGGGCCGACCAUUGUCAGAUUUUGUAGAUCAAAAGAUUGUAGUUGUUGGAGCUGGAAGGGCUUGGCAUUCUUAAAAUGACCUAUCAAGCUGUUUUGAGAAUGACCGGAACAACAGCAAACCCUCAGUUCAUUGAUAAACAGGCACGCUUUCAUCCAUUCUCAUGUUUUGAGAAUGACAGGAACAACAGCAAACCCUCAGGCUUAAUAUCUUUUGUUACUAUCUGUAAUAUCUAAUG